AUCAGGAUGGCCGAGUGGUUAAGGCGUUAGUCUGACAUUCCAAUGGAUGUUUAAUCCACGUGGGUUUGAACCUCACUCCUGGUA
Molecule: transfer RNA, 84 nt
Filed under: Xenopus laevis (African clawed frog)
Lineage: Eukaryota; Metazoa; Chordata; Amphibia; Anura; Pipidae
Rfam family: tRNA
About the family: Transfer RNA (tRNA) molecules are approximately 80 nucleotides in length.
Source: Rfam by way of RNAcentral